This 229-nucleotide ribosomal RNA is filed under the name uncultured bacterium. RNAcentral describes it as "partial 16S ribosomal RNA". It matches the Rfam family "Bacterial small subunit ribosomal RNA", at positions 101 to 334 of the family's 1533-position model. The record is from RNAcentral.
AAACGGGUGAGUAACACGUGGGAAUCUGCCCAAAAGUGGGGAACAACUCCUCGAAAGAGGAGCUAAUACCGCAUACGGUCUUUGUAAAAAGACUAAAGCUUCGCAAGAAGCGCUUUUGGAGGAGCCUGCGGCUGAUUAGCUAGUUGGUGGGGUAAAGGCCUACCAAGGCGAUGAUCAGUAGCUGGUCUGAGAGGAUGGACAGCCACACUGGGACUGAGAUACGGCCCAG